This 360-nucleotide long non-coding RNA is filed under the name Homo sapiens (human). Its description in RNAcentral is "non-protein coding lnc-C7-1:1". The record is from RNAcentral. Lineage: Eukaryota; Metazoa; Chordata; Mammalia; Primates; Hominidae.
GCGGGAACAGAGAUGUGAAGACAUUGCCCAAGGCACACGGUGAAUAAAAAUAGGAGAGUCUGAAUUUCAACCCUGGUCUGUCUGACACAAAUGCCCAGGUUCCAACUACUCUGCUAUGCUGCUAUCUCUCUUGGAUUUCUAUUCUUCAGUGAGCUCCCUCAUUGGGGAAACUGAAAAGUAACUACUGUAAUGAGAAGUUUACAUCAGCAACUGUGUUAUCUUUUCCUCCCCCUUGACAACCACUGAUUUGCUUGCCAUCAUUAGAGAUUAGUUUUCAAGUUCUACAGCUGUGCUGUCUCUAGCCUCAUAAGCUCGUGAACAUGAGUUGUGGCUGAUCUGGAUUAAGAUGUAACACAUGGG